Non-coding RNA from Paramuricea clavata, 258 nucleotides. Lineage: Eukaryota; Metazoa; Cnidaria; Anthozoa; Malacalcyonacea; Plexauridae. The record is from the annotation of a GenBank genome assembly.
CAAACCGGCAUAUAAACUUAGGUCAUAUUUCACAAAACACAAAGACAAAACAGCAUCAAAACAAACAAAAAAUGCUAUAUACAUGAUACCUUGCAGAGACUGUCCACAACGAUACAUAGGUCAAACCUCGGGGAAAAUUGAAACACGAAUAACUGAACACAAAAACGCCAUAAAACGAUACGAUUAUAAAUCACUACUUGUAGCACACACAUACGACAACUGCCAUACCUUCAACUGGACAGAAACCGAACUAUUAGG